RNAcentral lists this ribosomal RNA (366 nucleotides) under Enterococcus hirae. Its description in RNAcentral is "bacterial SSU rRNA". It matches the Rfam family "Bacterial small subunit ribosomal RNA", at positions 986 to 1353 of the family's 1533-position model. Lineage: Bacteria; Bacillati; Bacillota; Bacilli; Lactobacillales; Enterococcaceae. RNAcentral also lists the same sequence under 1 other name. The record is from RNAcentral.
AUCCUUUGACCACUCUAGAGAUAGAGCUUCCCCUUCGGGGGCAAAGUGACAGGUGGUGCAUGGUUGUCGUCAGCUCGUGUCGUGAGAUGUUGGGUUAAGUCCCGCAACGAGCGCAACCCUUAUUGUUAGUUGCCAUCAUUUAGUUGGGCACUCUAGCAAGACUGCCGGUGACAAACCGGAGGAAGGUGGGGAUGACGUCAAAUCAUCAUGCCCCUUAUGACCUGGGCUACACACGUGCUACAAUGGGAAGUACAACGAGUCGCAAAGUCGCGAGGCUAAGCUAAUCUCUUAAAGCUUCUCUCAGUUCGGAUUGUAGGCUGCAACUCGCCUACAUGAAGCCGGAAUCGCUAGUAAUCGCGGAUCAGC